GAAAAUUGGUGGAUUUCAAGUAAUCAAGCAAUCAAAGGUGGUGAGCCCUCUAACAAGGGCAAAGACGUUGUGUCAGAGGACUGAGAAUAGGAGGAUUUCAAACUCCUGUUACAGGGAGGUGCAAAAACUGAUAUUAAAGCCUUGCAAGGUUCCGAUUAGCAUUUCGGGCAAUGAAUGUCUAUGAGACGUCGCGACUGUUGUCACGGGCUCGAGGGGAGUAUCGGGUCAUGACAUAAUACUUUUCAAAAUAAUCAUUAACUAUUGUCACAAUAUUUUUUAUUGUAUCAUCUGUGUAUGGAAGUAAUCAUCAGGUAGUUUAACCAAAUACAAAUUUCCAUCAUCUAUAUUUAAUAACCAUUGUCCAAAUGCCUAAAUUUCAUUCCUUGAUUGUUCAUCUAAAUCAUCUUGUUGUAAUCUCAUAUUAGUCUUUAGAUAGAA
Non-coding RNA from Theobroma cacao (cacao), 438 nucleotides. The record is from RefSeq and is a predicted model, not a curated record. Lineage: Eukaryota; Viridiplantae; Streptophyta; Magnoliopsida; Malvales; Malvaceae.